Molecule: ribosomal RNA, 497 nt
Filed under: uncultured bacterium
Lineage: Bacteria
Description: partial 16S ribosomal RNA
Rfam family: Bacterial small subunit ribosomal RNA
Source: RNAcentral
GAUGAACGCUGGCGGCGUGCCUAAUACAUGCAAGUCGAGCGAACAGACGAGGAGCUUGUUCCUCUGACGUUAGCGGCGGACGGGCGAGUAACACGUGGAUCACCUACUUCUAAGACUGGGAUAACUUCGGGAAACAGGAGAUACUACCGGAUAAUAUAUUGUACCGCAUGGUUCAAUAGUGAAUGACGGUUUUGCUGUCACAUAUAGAUGGUUCCGCGCCGCAUUAGCUAGUUGGUAAGGUAACGGCUUACCAAGGCAACGAUGCGUAGCCGACCUGAGAGGAUGAUCGGCCACACUGGAACUGAGACACGGUCCAGACUCCUACGGGAGGCAGCAGUAGGGAAUCUUCCGCAAUGGGCGAAAGCCUGACGGAGCAACGCCGCGUGAGUGAUGAAGGUCUUCGGAUCGUAAAACUCUGUUAUUAGGGAAGAACAAAUGUGUAAGUAACUAUGCACGUCUUGACGGUACCUAAUCAGAAAGCCACGGCUAACUACGUG